GCCCCGCUGGCGCAAUGGUAGCGCGCGAGACUUCUAAAGUAAAUUACCCCAACAGGGACUGCUUAGUAAUCUCGAGGCUGCGGGUUCGAGUCCCGCGCGGGGUA
Phyllosticta capitalensis is the source of this 104-nucleotide non-coding RNA. NCBI's taxonomy places the organism in Eukaryota, Fungi, Ascomycota, Dothideomycetes, Botryosphaeriales, Phyllostictaceae. The record is from the annotation of a GenBank genome assembly.